Regulatory RNA element from Firmicutes bacterium CAG:424, 110 nucleotides. It matches the Rfam family "TPP riboswitch aptamer (THI element)". Rfam says of the family: Vitamin B(1) in its active form thiamin pyrophosphate (TPP) is an essential coenzyme that is synthesised by coupling of pyrimidine and thiazole moieties in bacteria. The previously detected thiamin-regulatory element, thi box was extended, resulting in a new, highly conserved RNA secondary structure, the THI element, which is widely distributed in eubacteria and also occurs in some archaea. NCBI's taxonomy places the organism in Bacteria, Bacillati, Bacillota. The record is from Rfam.
AAAUAGAAAAAGGGGAGCUUGCGUAUCAAGCAGGCUGAGAGUAGGAUGCAUUCCUAGACCCGUAACCUGAUUUGGAUAAUGCCAACGUAGGGAUAUAGCUUGAAGUUUAU